This 2346-nucleotide long non-coding RNA is filed under the name Solanum tuberosum (potato). RNAcentral's name for it is "long non-coding RNA (STUB_LNC009701)". The record is from RNAcentral. Lineage: Eukaryota; Viridiplantae; Streptophyta; Magnoliopsida; Solanales; Solanaceae.
AUGAGGGCUGCUAGACACGAGCAAAUAAUGUAGGCUAUUGGUCGCUUCUCUGAAUUGGACAGAGAUGGAGUCAUAUACUAACUCCAAAUGCGCUCUCGAGUGUACAUGUGACAAACAAAGAAGAAAUAGAAUUAGCGACUGAAUUUUUGGUUCAUCAAAGAGAUGUAAAAUAAGAAUCAUGUAGUCGUAGGCAUACUGUAAAUAUACUCAAAAACAACAACUACAACAACAUAAUACUAUUCUUGCAAUUCCUUGACGAUAUUUAAGUAAUUAGUAUACCAAAAACUUUAAUCAAUCUAGAGAGAAACAUCACAAGAAGAGUCGGGGCAGGAGGUGAACACUCAUAUUAUUUUAUGAUCUUGGUAUACAAUUAAAGGAAGAGCCACUGGAAAGCUAAUCAAUUAAAUUAUUUUGGAUUGUAAAGUACUACCUUAACUAUAAAGUCAUAAAAUAAGGACUGAAGCGAGAUCACCUUUAACUGAUCACUAAACAAAAAAUCAAUCCGCAACACUACUAGAUUAAAACUAGUCACUUGAGAACUCUUUGGAUUAGUUCUUGUCGAAUCAUAAAAUCAGCCCCCCAAAUGGAGGAUAUGUAUAAACCAGAAUUUUCACAUAUCUUAGAUGAAGGAUUACGUUUUAGUUAACUAUGUGAUGACCAAACAUUUAUCCAUACUCUUAUAUUUUCCAGAUCUUCAAACAGGGAGGGGGGUGGAACGAAGGGGUACCAGUUUUGAAUCCAAACAUAUUCAUGUCAAGUUGUUCUAGAUUGAAUCAUGUAGCAUUACUCUUUAAUUACCAACCAGAAAGAAGUAUUCAAACUAGGCAUCAAUAGAGACGAGAUUGAACAAAAAAAAAGAGUAAAUAUAGAAGCUAAAACUUGACAGAUACAAAAAAGGAGUUUCAAAGGACCACGAACAUAAAGAAACAACCAUUUAAGGAGCCAGCCAUAUUAACUUAAAGCAAUAUUAGAUUCACUAACCAAAUCGAUAUUGAAUUUAGGUUAAAUAAAGAAGCAAUAUGAGACCAGGCUACUGUUGUAGCUAUAUAGGAAUUUCACUCCGUAUAACAUUAUUAUCAUUUAAGAAUCAUUCCAAGGGAGGAAAACACCGACAUCUAUUCAAACCGAGUUAUUCAUAUUUAGCUAAAUGUAAAAAAAAUAAACUUUCUAUGCCAAGCAGCAGAAACAACUUUGAAUUAAAUGUGUAUCUAGACAAGAGGCCUAAAGGCGGUUAACAGAACUAACUUUAAUCAAGAGACUUACAUAUUUUGGCAUAACAAAAUUUAACAUCUAAUAGAGGCAGUAUGUGAUCACAGUCCACACGUGAAUAUUUUUUAGGGGAAAUCAUGAUGACGAAGUAGAACCGACAAGACAACGAGAUAUGAUUAAUAUAGAAAAAUGAAGAUGAAGAUGAAUAUGCUUCAGGUUAUGCGAAACAGACUAUGCGAGAGAGUAUCCGAAUUUAAUAUCGGCUGUGAACAGUCUUGAGCCAGCAUUCCGUCCAUAUAAAGAAACCACAUAACUUAAAAGGAAGCAUCUGAAAUUUAACUGAUUGUUAACGGAAUAAAAGACAGGCCACUAGUCAUUUUUGAAUUCACAAUUCACAACUCUAACCAGAUACAAAUAUCACAACUUCGACAAAUUAUUUAAAGGUUGAUUUUAAUCAAAGCUAAAUGAGGUAAUUCUGGGAACCGUUUAGAAAUACAAGAUUGAAUAAAGUAAGGAUAUUCAAACAGCCACAAAGUUUCCGAAACUGAAAGUCAAAAUAUAGAAAAGAUAAUGAUGACUACUGAUGUAUGAAGCAACAAACAAGGGGUUCGACGUUAAGAGAUUUCAACUUCGAACUCGACGUCAACUCAAAUUCAAAACAGAGAACAGAAGGACAAGAAGUGAAAAGAAAUUUCGAACUCUAACAAAAACUUGAAGUGGCUGCGAUUUUUCUUAUUUUGAUCGAUUCUUCGAUUUUCUCACUCAUUUCUGGACCUUCCUGGAUUGAGAACCAAAGGUCUGUUUUUAUUGCCAAAUUCAAACUUCCACUUGGCUUCAAGAAUUCAAAUUUUAAAUUCUUGGGAAGCCAAGUAUGAGGAAGAAUAGAAAAAUUAUAAUGAAGAGGGAAGGAAAUCUUUCAAGAAUCGACCUUUUCAGGUCGAUUUGAGAGGAUGAGUGAUUGAGGGAGCGUUUUUCCGGUGGCCCAGAGUCAUUUCUCUGACAAAGGGGGAUGGGGGAUCACGUGUGGGAGGUGAUGGAGGCCAUGGGAGAGGAGCUUGGAGCGUCAUUCUUUGGGGAAGAGGAAGAGGCGUGAUGGGGAAGAAGAACGUGAUCUUUGGAAGAAAUACAGAGUAUAGG